AUUUCUAUUUACUUGAUGGAUUUAGAGCCAUCCUUCCUUCUCAUGUGUAUCAAAAAGGUUUUGACAUCUCCACAAGUUGAACAAUCAUAUGUACUGCAUGUACCAUGAUCUAACUCAACAUUAAUUUUAAUUAACUUUAAUCUAAUUCAUACUCAGAUUAAAAAGGCGGUCCAGAGACUUCCGCCAAUUUAGGGUCUAGGAAUGAUCGGAUGUAUGCUGUCUUGCCUUCCGCAUAUAGGUAAGCUAUUUUUUUUCCUCUCUAUACAAACUCUGGUACUCAUCAUGAAAGUUGAACCUAGCUAGACCGGCCCAACCCAAACUGAAAUCAUAAUAAAGGGAUUUAUUGAAUCCAAUCUUGGCAAAUCCGGCGCCUUCAGGAUCGAUUCCAAGGCAGCAGUUUGCAUCGAUGCCGACUCUGAAAAAAAAAAGUUAUUUAAAUCGCGUGAACAACUCAUUAGUUUUUAAUAACGAUAUAAUCCAUCAAUAACCUAUAAUUAUCGACGUUAUUACCAGUGAUGAAGUAAUAAACUGUCGACAGAAGGGUAAGCAAGAUGGGGUUGGUUUCUGUGGCCGCUGCCGCCGGCCCCUGACAACCAAGUCCAG
Molecule: long non-coding RNA, 603 nt
Filed under: Phoenix dactylifera (date palm)
Lineage: Eukaryota; Viridiplantae; Streptophyta; Magnoliopsida; Arecales; Arecaceae
Description: long non-coding RNA (PDAC_LNC007060)
Source: RNAcentral